GAUAGUAGUAGGGUCACGGCAUGGUGUUUGCUGCCCUGCUUUUAUGACUCUGUUUGUCCUUUUUCACCUCUCUCUCUUUCUUUCAAUAUAUUUUCCCCCAUCCUAUCUAUAUUUAUCAUCAUCUCCCUUCUCCCAUCCUUCCCAGAUUCCCAUUUCUUCUCUUCUCUUCUCUUCUCUUCCCCUCACAAAUCUCUCCUCCCCUCUCCCUCAUAUGGAAGAAGGAGAAGAAAAGGAAGCUUUGUUCUUGAUUGAGGGGAAUGUUGUCUGGCUCGAGGCCACCAACUAGAUCCAUGUACCCAAAUUAAAUCUCUUCUUUUUAAUUCUGGGUAAUAAUAAUUCAUCAUAUAUAUCAUGGAUCAUGUGUUAGUGUCCUCGGACCAGGCUUCAUUCCCCCCAAUUUUCUGCUUCCCUUUGAUGAUUUAACCUAGCCCUUAGCUUUCUCUAUCAAAUCUGUUUUGUGGAUAUAUAUUUGUUGUUGUGGUCAGGUAAAAUAUGAAGAAUGUGGGUGGUGGACAAUUGCAGAUUGGUGUAAUGAUGAUGGUUUUUGACUUUGCUUUUGCAGAAAAGGGUAAAAAGUUUCAUAAUUACUCUCUUGUAGUGUAGUAUUGUCAGUCUUUAAAAGAACAAAUCUUUUUUAUGAUGCUGCUGAUGAUUUCUCUCAUGAUGGGUUCAAGAAUCUCUCUUGUUUGUUUCCAGAACCUCUCCAGUGCCUUAUUGAUUGACUUUGUAAGUAGUAAUCAUUACCACUACCUCUUCCAUGGCUUCUUAGCUAGGGUUUCACUUUCUUUGCAAACGUCAUGAUAAAAACCUCACUGAAUCUCCACUCUCCCACCAAAUCCAUAAAGGUUUCCAAAUCAAAGUAACAGAUCUGCAGAUCAGUACUGAAAAAGGAGAAAGCUUUUGUGUAGAUCUAUAGUUUCUUCACUGAAAACUGCCCAUUUUCCUCCCGGGUAGCUCUCGAUCGCCCUAAAGCCUUGCUCCAACAUUGCGCGAUUUGCGAUUUACCUCUUUCAAGCAGGGGUUCGGGUGAUUUAGAAUAAGUCUGAUUUAAGCUGAGAAACCUAAUAUAUCAAACAAAAAACAUGAUUUUAACCCUUUUCCCAGUCUUUCUUGAAAGAUCUGCAGUUAUUUUGUGGGAUAUUCUUGCUGCAGAUUUGCAGAUCAGUGACAUGGUAACUUCACACAUACAGCAUAUAUUUUUGCUUAGAUUUCUUGAUUUUAUCUAUGUUUUAUGCAUUCGAGGUAAGGCUAGCUGGAUAUGUUCAUACUGCCAUCAUUUCCAGCUUGGCUUGCGUGUGGUUUCUCCAUUGCUUGAAGGGAAGGUCUCAGAGAAUAAUCAAAAAGCAGCCUGGAAAGUUAUGAUGACAAGUUGAGAUGUUGAAGCAACUUAACCCUAACUUGUUCACAGGAAUGGAGAUCAGAGGUUAUCAUUUCUCAAUGAUGUGAUAAGCUAGCCUGGUCAUGACCUUUGAUGCUAAAGCUUUGCUCAUCUAUCUAUGCAUCAAUAUAAUAUUAUUGGGUAGGAUUAGGAUUCUCUUGGGAAAUUGAAGCCCCCAUUUCAUGCACAGCUUUUACAAUGUUGGCAAGCAUUAUGCAUCUUGUUUAGUGAAAUUGUACUUAUUGUGUUAUUUUAUUUUAUUUUAUUUUAAUGUUUUUACUCA
Long non-coding RNA from Ipomoea triloba (trilobed morning glory), 1661 nucleotides. RefSeq lists it as uncharacterized. The record is from RefSeq and is a predicted model, not a curated record. The transcript is spliced from 2 exons. Lineage: Eukaryota; Viridiplantae; Streptophyta; Magnoliopsida; Solanales; Convolvulaceae.